GCGGGAGCUCGCGCUCGCCAGCGCCGCGCCCGCCUCAGGGCCGCCCGCGGGGCCUUCUGCGGUGGGAAGAGGCCGCCGAGUCCUCGGCGCCUCGCAGCGGUGGAGGGGAGCCCCGCCACCGAGGUGAAGAAACUGAAGCCCAGAAAGGUGCUAGCAGCAAUAGUGCUAUGGGC
Molecule: long non-coding RNA, 173 nt
Filed under: Suricata suricatta (meerkat)
Lineage: Eukaryota; Metazoa; Chordata; Mammalia; Carnivora; Herpestidae
Description: lncRNA (ENSSSUG00005020005.1)
Source: RNAcentral